AUUCCAGCUCCAAUAGCGUAUAUUAAUGUUGUUGCAGUUAAAAAGCUCGUAGUUGGAUUUCUGAUGGGAUCGACCCGGUCGGCUCCGAAAGGGGUCGCACUGGUGGUCUGUCCGGUCAUCCUCGAGGGGAGGCUUUCUGGCAUUCAUUUGUUGGGGAGUCGACGCUCGUCGUUUACUGUGAACAAAUUAGAGUGUUCAAAGCAGGCUUAGGCCGUUGAAUACAUUAGCAUGGAAUAAUAAGAUAGGACUUUGGUGGUUUAUUUUGUUGGUUUGCACGCCGAAGUAAUGAUUAAUAGGAGCAGUUGGGGAUGUCCGUAUUCGAUUGUCAGAGGUGAAAUUCUUGGAUUUAUUGAAGACGAACUACUGCGAAAGCAUUCAUCAAGGAUGUUUUCAUUA
This 396-nucleotide ribosomal RNA is filed under the name Dictyocha sp. Its description in RNAcentral is "partial small subunit ribosomal RNA". It matches the Rfam family "Eukaryotic small subunit ribosomal RNA", at positions 582 to 975 of the family's 1831-position model. Lineage: Eukaryota; Dictyochophyceae; Dictyochales; Dictyochaceae. The record is from RNAcentral.